GAAAGCUCGGUGGGCGUCUCUGGAGACAACAGCUGCAGACUUUAACAAGCAGACCAGCGCCGGUAUAUCACACUCUAAAAAUGCAACAAUGAAGACACAUAAUCCCAUAAGGACUGAACUGUGAUUGCCAUUAAGGGUCACUGUGGUUCUCAGGAAACCCCCUGAUCUGCUGUUGUCAGGCCGAGCGGAGUGUUUCCUCGCUGUGAUCCAGGGAGCUGUUGAGCUCCACUUGAGCUCAAUGCUUCAAAACAUAAAUGUUAGAGCUGCUUCCUUAAUGUGCUGUGCAGUGGAAGUCUCUCGCUCGUGGCCUCCGUGACCCGCAGCUCCUGAACCUCAGCUGCCACUGAGAGCUUUAACC
This is a long non-coding RNA of Cyprinus carpio carpio, 358 nucleotides long. NCBI's taxonomy places the organism in Eukaryota, Metazoa, Chordata, Actinopteri, Cypriniformes, Cyprinidae. The record is from Ensembl.